UAUACUGUGAAACUGCGAAUGGCUCAUUAAAUCAGUUAUCGUUUAUUUGAUAGUACCUUACUACUUGGAUAACCGUGGUAAUUCUAGAGCUAAUACAUGCUAAAAACCCCGACUUCGGAAGGGGUGUAUUUAUUAGAUAAAAAACCAAUGCCCUUCGGGGCUCCUUGGUGAAUCAUGAUAACUUAACGAAUCGCAUGGCCUUGCGCCGGCGAUGGUUCAUUCAAAUUUCUGCCCUAUCAACUUUCGAUGGUAGGAUAGUGGCCUACCAUGGUAUCAACGGGUAACGGGGAAUUAGGGUUCUAUUCCGGAGAGGGAGCCUGAGAAACGGCUACCACAUCCAAGGAAGGCAGCAGGCGCGCAAAUUACCCAAUCCCGACACGGGGAGGUAGUGACAAUAAAUACUGAUACAGGGCUCUUUUGGGUCUUGUAAUUGGAAUGAGUACAAUUUAAAUACCUUAACGAGGAACAAUUGGAGGGCAAGUCUGGUGCCAGCAGCCGCGGUAAUUCCAGCUCCAAUAGCGUAUAUUAAAGUUGUUGCAGUUAAAAAGCUCGUAGUUGAACCUUGGGCCUGGCUGGCCGGUCUGCCUCACCGCAUGUACUGGUUCGGCCGGGCCUUUCCUCCUGGGGAUCCGCAUGCCCUUCACUGGGUGUGUUGGGGAACCAGGACUUUUACUUUGAAAAAAUUAGAGUGUUCAAAGCAGGCCUUUGCUCGAAUACAUUAGCAUGGAAUAAUAGAAUAGGACGUGCGGUCCUAUUUUGUUGGUUUCUAGGACCGCCGUAAUGAUUAAUAGGGAUAGUCGGGGGCAUCAGUAUUCAGUUGUCAGAGGUGAAAUUCUUGGAUUUACUGAAGACUAACUACUGCGAAAGCAUUUGCCAAGGAUGUUUUCAUUAAUCAGUGAACGAAAGUUAGGGGAUCGAAGACGAUCAGAUACCGUCGUAGUCUUAACCGUAAACUAUGCCGACUAGGGAUCGGGCGAUGUUAUUCUUUUGACUCGCUCGGCACCUUACGAGAAAUCAAAGUC
This 1022-nucleotide ribosomal RNA is filed under the name Diplodia sapinea. RNAcentral describes it as "SSU rRNA". It matches the Rfam family "Eukaryotic small subunit ribosomal RNA", at positions 75 to 1105 of the family's 1831-position model. The record is from RNAcentral. Lineage: Eukaryota; Fungi; Ascomycota; Dothideomycetes; Botryosphaeriales; Botryosphaeriaceae.